RNAcentral lists this long non-coding RNA (5615 nucleotides) under Pan troglodytes (chimpanzee). RNAcentral's name for it is "long non-coding RNA NONPTRT000487". The record is from RNAcentral. Lineage: Eukaryota; Metazoa; Chordata; Mammalia; Primates; Hominidae.
AAGGGAGGCAGGAAGGAGAGGGAAGGGGGGUGCUUUUCUCAGGCCUGGGGCCCCUAGCUCUUUGUCCGGCUCCUUUUGCAUCUCAAAGCACCAGCCGCAUUCCAAGCGAGGAUUGGGUUGCCAUGACAAUAAGCACAAUGGGCUGGGGGGUGAAGUCACCCGCUUCCCAGGCUCUAGUCCACCCCCUUUUAUCCCCUGUCCUGGCACCCCACAGCCCCAGGCACCUUAAAGGGGAACCAACCCAGGUUCCUGGACUCUGGGCUCUUGGCCAUGGAAAGUCCAGCCUCUAAGCAGACCCAUUUCCCCUCCCUUCCUGUUCAUCUCCACCAACUAGGGCUACUUGUUGGAGAGAAAUGCAAAGUUGUGGACAAAGUGCUGAACCGAGGCCUGUGAAGUCAGGGCCUUGAUUUUCUCUUCUGUAAAUGAUGAUCCCUUCCAGGUCAGAUGAUCCCUAUCCAGGUUGAUAAGACAGGUUCCAGGUCAUACCAACUAAGGGACCAGAUGUGAUGUGCCCCUUCACAGAUUGGCCUGGGUUUGGAGGCUUCUGGAGAACUGUAAAGGGCAUCUAACCCAAUGCCCUCAUUUUACAGACGGGAAAAUGGGUCAUGGAGGAGUGACUUCACCAACAUCACUCAUAGGUGCUUGUGUCCAUGGUGAGAAGGGUGAUGGAGAGAAGUGGCUGCAGUUCCCACCCAUGGAGAGGUCACUGGUGAAUCCCAGCUAAAGAGGAAGGACAGGCCCGGCCUGAGUCCCACAGGUGGGCUCAGCCCCUCUCCUUACCGAAUGUAGCCAACUUGAGGCCGGUGCAGAAGCUGCCAGCGAUAGGAGGUCUUGUCCCGCCAGCCCACAUUUCGUGGGUCUGUCCACAGCAGUCGUACCUGAUCAGGGGUGUGGCCAGUAUGCCACAGGGCAUUUCGGAGGUGCUCACCUGGGCCAGACACUGAUGUCACUGCCUAGGAGACAUUGGCAAAGACAGUGAGUCAACUGCAGAACUGGAGUGAGGGGAGACAACAGGUCGGUAAGUGCAGGUGGGAAAGGGAUUCAAGGCGGUCAUGAAAAUGCCCUGGGGCCCCAGAGAGCCGGCCUCCAAGCCAGAUGUCUGGGUAAGAGGGUUCCCAGUCAAGCAGUGGGGGAGGCCCUGGGGCUGCAGAGGAGAGCUUUGGGAAAGGGCCCUGGGUUGCGGAAUCUGAGCAGCUGGGGACCUUGAGCUGCAGCCCGGGCUGGGCAACCGCCCGGAAGGGUGUAGCCUGCCAGUAGGUCUGCUCGGUCUGCUUCCACAUGACUACGUAGAAGCGGCCACUGUCUUGAUAACUGAAGAGAAAGCCUGCGUAGUCAUCAUCAGUCACUGUGUUCACAUGGAAGGUGCCUUCAAAGUCCACACCAUUGAAGGCCGUGUAUCCUGGGGUGGGGGUGGGAUAAAGGUCAGGGGCAGCAAAGCUACUGGCGGCCCAUCAUGGGGUAAAGUUGGGAAGGGAUGCCUGCUAUGUAUGUGGCCAGCUUGUGCCACCGCCUUCUCUCUCGCCACUUUGCCCAUUCUCCCUGUCUGUUUCCUCCCCUACCCUCUGCCCCUAUAGGAUUCCUCCAUUUGGAAGUGAUUGAACUGCAUAUCCCUUACAUACCAACUGCCAAGCCAGGGUCACUGUUCAUGGUCUGAACGAUUUCCAUGCCCUGGGGUUGUAUAGUAAAGAAAAAGCUGUGAUGCAGGUGUGCUAUCCCUCCCAGGCCCCCCGCCCCAGUAGCCCUGUCUGAUAGCACCUGCCCAGCCCACUGCCCCGAGUUACCUGGUUGAGCACAACCCAGUUUGGGUCAAUCUGAGCAUCACCCUCAGGAUCCAGGACGACGGUCUGAUAGGCCCGAAAAUCCGUAAGCGUUACCUCUGCACUUUCAGGACACACAUCCAGGGGGUCGACCACCGCAUCAUUGUCAAAGUCAUCCUCACACACAUCACCAACGCCAUUGCCUGGGCAGAGUGAGGCUGGGUGCUCAGGAAGGCCCUGGCCACUGCCAUUAGGCAACAAUACCAUCUGUUGGGCCUGCAUUCCUGACAUCUUUCCCCACCUUGCCCUUCCUCACUUCCCAACAGGGCUUGCUGCCUCCACCUGGGCAAAGGCAACACCAGUCUAACGUGCUCUGGGUCCACAGGCUUACCAUCUGAGUCCUUCUGAUUGGGAUUGGGUACCAGGCGGCAGUUAUCAGGACCAGGAGGCACAUAAUCUGGGAUGCCAUCAUUGUCAUCAUCCCCAUCACACUCAUCUCCAAGUCCAUCGUUAUCAGAGUCCAGCUGGGAGCUAUUUGGCAGCUGUGGGCAGUUGUCCUUGGUGUCCUGAUGCCCAUCCCCAUCGCUAAUCAGAAGAACAGGUUGGUGAAAGUCCUGAACUUUGUCUCCCCACCCAGAGGACAACUGGCCAGGAAAUCUGCCUGUUUCUUGUCUCACCCUCUAGUCCACACUCUGCCUAACGCUACGCCCUACCUCACAUUCCUAUUGACAUCUGCUGCAGAUCACACCCUUGUGAUGGACAAACUGCUCAGUACAGUCCCACCCACCCAGCCUCCUUGUCCUGGGCACGAGGUUUUUGCCUCCCUGAUUUGGAGUAUUGGGCCCUUACUAGAGAGCUGCCAGAUGAGGUAAGUGAGGCAUGGAGAGGACAGGAGGAGGGGAGAGGAGCUUCAAGGGGCAGGGCAGUCUGGGAGUCACCUCAACAUUCUUGAUCCCAUCCCCAUCAGCAUCAUCAUCACACUGGUCCCCCACACCAUCAUUAUCAGCAUCUUCCUGCCCAGAGUUGGGUGUCAAAAGGCAGUUGUCCUAAAGUUCAGGGGAAGAGGAUGGAUGAGUUCUGGCCUGACCCAGCUUGGGCUCCCCACUACGCCCCCUUGCCCGCCUGCUCCCUGCACCUGUUUGCAGUGUUUGUUGUUGUCCAUGCAGGGCAGUGCUUGGUCUGGGUAGCCAUCGAUGUCUGUGUCAGUCCCACACACGUUCCCAUUCCCAGCCCAGCCCACGUUACACUAGGGCAACACAAAGGGUAGGAGCUAGCAGUUUGGUCUGGCUCCCCUCCUCCCUCUAUUUUCCCUGCUUCAGGUCCUAUUCUCCCCACCAAACAGUUCCUGGGCCCAGGCCCACCUCUCUCCUAUGAAGGCCCCCAACCCAGGCCCUAAACAUAGCCCUACUCCUUUCCCCAGACCCUCCCUUUUCCUUCCACGCCUGAAGCCUAGCUCACCUGGCAGGACACUGCACCAUUGCGUUCAAAGAGACAGUGAGCAUGGAUGUGGCAGGGGCUGUGGGCUGGGCUGUGGCAGGUCCGGGCUGGGAGGCAGCCCUGGCUCUGGUUGCCCAGGAAACCCAGGCGGCAGGGACCACACUUGAAAGAGCCCUAAGAGUGGAGAGGCAGCAUCUUAGGAAGGAGGGUGAGCCCACCAGGCACCCAGGACCAGCACUGCUCCACCUGCGGGGUGUGGGCUGGGCACUCAAUUAUGCCAGGCAUAUCAGUAUCUCCUUUAGGUUCUCAUGACAACCUUUCAGGGUGGAUAACAGCCUCAGUUUUCAGAUGAGGAAGCUGAGGCUCAGAAAAGUUAAAUAACCUGCCAAAGAGCUAGCAAGAGGCAAACCAGUAUUCCAAACCAAGUCCAUGUGAACACCUAAUCUGUGUAGUGCCCUGGGGAGGAGGAAAGGCAGCAGGAAAUUUGAAGACCUGAAGGGGCAGACUUUGGGUGGAACCAGACCUAUGGUGGGUCUCCUCAGAUACAGCAGAGGACACUGGUAUGGCCUUAUCUGUGAACAUCAACAUUAAGCCCAGACCCAAAGCCGAUGCAAAGCCAUCCAUGUCCCAUUCAUCACAAGGGUCCCAUGUCCAACCCAGAAGCCCCUGGCCUCUACAAGGCCAAGAUCCCUUGUCCACACACACUACCCAGUCUGACCUGUUUGCUGGCCCGGGCAUAGUCAAUGCCCACACCAGACACCUGUGUGCCCUUGUACCCUCGAGGACAGGCCUCACAGUGGAAGCCGGGCAUGGUGUUGAUGCAGCUGGAGCCCGGGAAACAGGGGUCAGCGUGAGCACACUGGGGACCAGAUGAGAAGGCAGAGGUCAGGCCGCCCUCUGGGAAACUCAGGUCCCUGCCUGUGAUCCAGGAACCAUUGCUCCAGGUCUCCCCUUUGUGCAGCUCUCCCCACACAACUGCCUUGUGCUCCUGGUCCCCACCCCGCUUCCCUCGGGGUUCCCUCUCUCCCUCCCCAUGCCACUGGUCGCCAUCUCAAGCCCCCCUGCAGUUUCCCCAGCUCCUUCCCUGUAUGGCCUUCAGUCUUUGCCCCAGGCCUUCUGUCUCUCCCAUCUUGCAUUUCUCUUGCCUCUGACCUCUCCUAAACUCCAGAUUCCUCUCCUCCGGACCAGCAUUUAUCCCACCCUCUUGGGCGCCUCCUGACAUCCUCACCCCAGUUUUCUGUACCCUUCUGGGCUCUGCCCUCCCCCACCUCAUUGAUGUCACUGCAGUGGGUGCCGUUGCCCUGCAGGCCAGGGGGGCAGGGCCCACAGCGGUAGCCUGGGUACUCGUACACUUCCAUGCAGUCCACACCUCGGAAGCAGGGAUUGGGGCUGCAGUGGGAACGCUGCUCAUGGAAGCCUGAGGGGUGGACACAGUCAGAGCUACCCGGUGGUCACUAUUUAAGCCACCAGAAGGGAAAGCCAAAGCCAUUGGGUGGGGAACGUGGCACAGUCAUGUGGAGCCUCCCCUGCUCUCCCACUCACCGCACACCUGACACUCCAUAAUGGUGUUUCGGAUCAGGGACAUUUCCUUCACCUGGAGAAGGAUGGGGAGGAGUCAGCACUUGACAUCUGCCACCCUACCCCAGAAUCAGUGCCACCCUUCGCCAGCCCACCCAAACCUGGUCUCGUAUAUCAUCCCGCAGCUCCACCAGGAUCUGGUUGAAGAGGGUGAGUUGGGUGACCAGCGCCUUGGUCUGCUCCCCUGUCGGGACCCAGGGUGUGAGGGGCUCAGUACUGGAGCACCAGUCCUGGGCCCUCCAUGGGCAAUAAGCCAGUACCUGCCACGGCUGCCCACCCCUGCCUUUAACCCUACUACAUUCCUGACUGAAGAGGACUUAGUUUCAGGCAGCUGCCAGAGCCUGGGGCCUCCUCCCCGCUCCCCGCUUCCGCUUCAGUGUGGCCUACUCACCUAGAAUGGAGUGCAGUGCAUUGGUCACUGGAGAGGAGAAGAAAACAUAGUCAGAGGGGUGAGGUGAAGUGAAGAGAGGCCUGGUUGGUGAGAAGAAGGAAGGAAGGUGAGGACAGGGACAGGGCUGGAGCCCCAGAAUAAAGAUGGGGUGCUGGAUGCUGGGAGGGCAGAGCUGGCAGACAAGCAGUGCCAGCUCCUUCUAUGGGGCAAAAGGCCCUCUAAGGGAGUUGCUUCACAGGAAGUUAAAACCCAAAUCCUCCUGGUUCCUAGGCAUGGUAGUAGCAGAAGGGAUGGACCCAAAGCAGGGCCAGGGCCCCAGUAUAUCCCCGUUUUUUGUUUUUUGUUUUUUGUUUUUUUUUUUUUGAGUCGGAGUCUUGCUCUGUUGCCCAGGCUAGAAUGCAGUGGCGUGAUCUCUGCUCACCACAACCUCCACCUCCCAGGUUCAAACAACU